This is a long non-coding RNA of Octopus sinensis (East Asian common octopus), 223 nucleotides long. RefSeq lists it as uncharacterized. The transcript is spliced from 5 exons. NCBI's taxonomy places the organism in Eukaryota, Metazoa, Mollusca, Cephalopoda, Octopoda, Octopodidae. The record is from RefSeq and is a predicted model, not a curated record.
AAUUCCUAUAUUCUAUUAUUUGAAGGAUUGUAAAAUAAAAUCCUAGGAAGAUAGUAAUGAUUAUAGAGUGAGUUGCAGAUUUCAAGUUAUUAUUUAUUAAUGAGUGGUGUACUCAGGUAACAGAUACGCUGUAAGCUAGAAGGAUUGCUGUAUUAAGUAGGGGAAUUUGGAAUGGAUUUACUGGAAAAAUGUAAAAGGGUGGUGAGCUGAGCCAAUAUAUUUA